Molecule: ribosomal RNA, 432 nt
Filed under: uncultured bacterium
Lineage: Bacteria
Description: partial 16S ribosomal RNA
Rfam family: Bacterial small subunit ribosomal RNA
Source: RNAcentral
AACGAACGCUGGCGGCAUGCCUAACACAUGCAAGUCGAACGAGACCUUCAGGUCUAGUGGCGCACGGGUGCGUAACGCGUGGGAACCUGCCCUUAGGUUCGGAAUAACUCCCCGAAAGGGGUGCUAAUACCGGAUAAUGUCUUCGGACCAAAGAUUUAUCGCCUUUGGAUGGGCCCGCGUUGGAUUGCUAGUUGGUAGGGUAAAAGCCUACCAAGGCGACGAUCCAUAGCUGGUCUGAGAGGAUGAUCAGCCACACUGGGACUGAGACACGGCCCAGACUCCUACGGGAGGCAGCAGUGGGGAAUAUUGGACAAUGGGCGAAAGCCUGAUCCAGCAAUGCCGCGUGAGUGAUGAAGGCCUUAGGGUUGUAAAGCUCUUUUACCCGGGAUGAUAAUGACAGUACCGGGAGAAUAAGCUCCGGCUAACUCCGUG